RNAcentral lists this ribosomal RNA (229 nucleotides) under uncultured bacterium. RNAcentral describes it as "partial 16S ribosomal RNA". It matches the Rfam family "Bacterial small subunit ribosomal RNA", at positions 568 to 796 of the family's 1533-position model. The record is from RNAcentral.
UGCGUAGGCGGUCUUUUAAGUCAGUGGUGAAAUCCCAGAGCUCAACUCUGGAACUGCCAUUGAAACUGAAAGACUUGAAUAUGGUUGAGGUAGGCGGAAUACGUUAUGUAGCGGUGAAAUGCAUAGAUAUAACGUAGAACACCAAUUGCGAAGGCAGCUUACUAAACCAUUAUUGACGCUGAUGGACGAAAGCGUGGGGAGCGAACAGGAUUAGAUACCCUGGUAGUCC